RNAcentral lists this transfer RNA (74 nucleotides) under Fidelibacterota bacterium. RNAcentral's name for it is "tRNA-Val". It matches the Rfam family "tRNA". From Rfam's summary of the family: Transfer RNA (tRNA) molecules are approximately 80 nucleotides in length. Their secondary structure includes four short double-helical elements and three loops (D, anti-codon, and T loops). The record is from RNAcentral. Lineage: Bacteria; Pseudomonadati; Fidelibacterota.
GGGCGAUUAGCUCAGUUGGUUAGAGCAUCUGCUCGACAUGUAGAAGGCCAUUGGUUCAAAUCCAAUAUUGCCCA